Molecule: ribosomal RNA, 253 nt
Filed under: uncultured bacterium
Lineage: Bacteria
Description: partial 16S ribosomal RNA
Rfam family: Bacterial small subunit ribosomal RNA
Source: RNAcentral
UUCGGAGGGGGCUAGCGUUGUUCGGAAUUACUGGGCGUAAAGCGCACGUAGGCGGUCUGUUAAGUCGGGGGUGAAAUCCUGGGGCUCAACCUCAGAAUUGCCUCCGAUACUGGCAGUCUCGAGUGCGGGAGAGGUGAGUGGAAUUCCCAGUGUAGAGGUGAAAUUCGUAGAUAUUGGGAAGAACACCAGUGGCGAAGGCGGCUCACUGGCCCGUAACUGACGCUGAGGUGCGAAAGCGUGGGGAGCAAACAGG